This 644-nucleotide ribosomal RNA is filed under the name uncultured fungus. Its description in RNAcentral is "eukaryotic LSU rRNA". The stretch from base 227 to 380 matches the Rfam family "5.8S ribosomal RNA". Lineage: Eukaryota; Fungi. The record is from RNAcentral.
UCCGUAGGUGAACCUGCGGAAGGAUCAUUAUUGAAUAAACCUGAUGUGGUUGUUGCUGGCUCUCUAGGGAGCAUGUGCACACCCGUCAUCUUUAUAUUUCCACCUGUGCACCUUUUGUAGACCCAGAGGACUUGAGCAAUCGAGUCGUUUGGGCCUAUGUCUUAUCAUAUACCCCAUAGUAUGUAUUAGAAUGUAUCAGUGGGCUUCGUGCCUAUAAACACUAUACAACUUUCAGCAACGGAUCUCUUGGCUCUCGCAUCGAUGAAGAACGCAGCGAAAUGCGAUAAGUAAUGUGAAUUGCAGAAUUCAGUGAAUCAUCGAAUCUUUGAACGCACCUUGCGCUCCUUGGUAUUCCGAGGAGCAUGCCUGUUUGAGUGUCAUUAAAUUCUCAACCUCUCUAGUUUUUAUUAACUAGUAGAUGGCUUGGAUUUGGAGGUUUUUUGCAGGCUUUCACAAGUCAGCUCCUCUUAAAUGUAUUAGCCGGUGCCCUCUAACCGUCUAUUGGUGUGAUAAUUAUCUACGCCGGUGGGACUAUUAGGACUUGGGGUUGGCAUUGGCUUCUAAUCGGUCCUGGUAUGGGGGACAAUAUAUUGGACAUUUUGGACCUCAAAUCAGGGGUAGGGGGACUACCCGGCUGAACUUAA